RNAcentral lists this long non-coding RNA (266 nucleotides) under Homo sapiens (human). RNAcentral's name for it is "non-protein coding lnc-HDDC3-3:1". The record is from RNAcentral. Lineage: Eukaryota; Metazoa; Chordata; Mammalia; Primates; Hominidae.
CCUGGUUUGCAUAGUCUGCACGUUUAAUCACUUUAAAACCUCUAACAUUAUCUCAUGUCCAUUAAAUAGAACCAGCAAUGCUGGGCCUGUUUAAAUUACAAGAAAAAAAUCACUGUGCACCAACCCAGCAUCUUACAAAACCAGCCGGGCUGGCCACGAGGGCAGGGGGAUGGGAGAGGAGGGGAGGGGAGGGUGGUCAGGACACCAGCACAGGGUUCAGCCAGAGCUUCGGCCUUGGCUGCGCCAGCCUGGUGGCCAGUGGUGGU